Ictalurus punctatus (channel catfish) is the source of this 558-nucleotide long non-coding RNA. RefSeq lists it as uncharacterized. NCBI's taxonomy places the organism in Eukaryota, Metazoa, Chordata, Actinopteri, Siluriformes, Ictaluridae. The transcript is spliced from 4 exons. The record is from RefSeq and is a predicted model, not a curated record.
AAAACCCGCCCCUUCCUUUCGUUGCUAUGGACUGCAGAGUGUGACUUUGGGCUACCAAGACUGUGCAUGUGUGGUGUGCUGCUUGCUCUCAGUGUAGUGUGCCGCCAGGGCUCUCAUCUGUGUAGCAUGGCAGUUUAACGUAGCCCCGGUCGGCGCGCCAGCUGCUGCUGUCACAACUAUUAAAGAAGCUAUCAUAUGAUUUUCGUAUGUGCCGUCUUGAGAAUUAUGUCAUCGGAUCACGGUCCUUGAUCUUGCAUGCAUUAAUGCAGGCUGAGAGCUGAGUGCUUCCUGAGGCUGGGUGGGGGGUUCUUUGCUGCACCUUUGGUUUUACUUGAUUAAGGGUCAUCGUUAUUGCUGUGUUUAUUUGCAGUGAAUUUUGUGGGUAUGAUUCUGAUUAGUGGGGUGCUUUUCCCUUUUCUAUAGCUAGUGCUGUUGUACUAGCCUGCCCUUCAUACAGGAAGCCUAAGUCUUCCUAUGAUUAUUGUUAAUUUCCUCUUGUGACAGUUUUAUUUAACCAAUGCCUGAUUGCGUUGGCUGCUCCUUUCUUUUAAAAUAAUU